RNAcentral lists this long non-coding RNA (644 nucleotides) under Heterocephalus glaber (naked mole-rat). RNAcentral describes it as "lncRNA (ENSHGLG00000034036.1)". The record is from RNAcentral. Lineage: Eukaryota; Metazoa; Chordata; Mammalia; Rodentia; Bathyergidae.
CCUGAGCAGAGUGGGAAGUGGGAGGAGCAGCCGAAUGGUGUAAAAGACUUGAAAUUCUCCAACACACAGAUGUAGAUGGAUACAGUUGUCCAAAACCCCUACUCCUUAUUGCCAUUUCGGGUCCAUAGUUGGAUGAUCUCUCAGGACAUGUGGGCAGAGAAACGUGGAGAAAGAUGUAGAAUGAAGGAAAGGAUCUGAGGCAGUCAGCCUCCAAGAUGGCUCUUAAUGAUCCACACCUCUUGGUAUUCACACCUGUGCAUAGGCCCUCUUAUACCUUGGUUGAUGUAUGUGACCAAUAUGGUAGAAGGGACGCCAUGUCACUUCUGAGGCAAGCUUACUAAAGACUGUGGCUUCUAUCUGGAAUUCUCCCUUACUUUCCUUGUUUCUUGCAUCUCUCACUCUGUCAGAAGCCUGCUGUCAUAUUGUCAGGAACCCAGUGCAGACACUCAUAAUGAGGAACUGAAGCUCCAGCCAACAACAAUAAGAAACUGGCCUGCAGGUACUAGCUCUCUCCCAGGAGAUUAAAUGUUUAGGUGAAGGAGAAAGACCUGGAGAACCCCUGGACAUGGUAACCCAAGCAAGUUCCUGAGGAGAUGCAGUGAGCUCAGACUCAGAGUCAUCUGCUCGGAGCCCCAGGAAGCCCG